CUUCCAAGCUGUAUGCUACCCCACCUCCUCCACACUGAUGACCUACUCACCUUCCAGCUGGGUCAAUUAACAAGCAGCUUCAACAGCUUAAAACCCCACCUGGAGCUCAGCAGACACACAGUGGUCCAGAGCAAACAAUGGAGAAAGUUUUUGUCAUUAAAGAUAUGAGAAGCUUUGAGUGUUCAUCUCCAUCGGAGCUUGACAGAAAGUUUUUUGAGGAGCAGAGUUGGCUGUCUGCUCUGUCCGUGGAACAACUGUCCACAUCAAGAAUAUCAAAUGACGCAGUGGCUGAUGGAUCUGAUGCCAGGCUGUCUGUCCUGGCUUCCUUCUGCCUGUCCUCAGAUGUUAGUUCUCCCUCUCAGGCCUAUUCAAUGAGCAGCUUCAAUGCUCAAGACACUGACAACUGUCACCUGGCUGUGCCUUUACAAGGAAUGGCUUCUACUCCCCAAGUGCUCCUUCAAAAGCACAAAGGGCCUACAUUUUUUGACCAGCCGAACAAUGAUCUCACUGCUUCUCAAAUGUCAUGGGACGUGUCUUUGAUUAAACCAGAGAGCAACAGCCCCAAACCCUUCAUGGAGUCGAGUGUUGUGGAGCAAACAUGGAGUCCUAAACCACAGACUUCACAGCAUUCACGUGCUGAAGUUUCUCCCUGAUGUGGCCAAGAAUGUCCUUCUACCACCCUUAUCAUGGAUAAUUCACAGGUUUGGCAGGCAGAAGGGUGGAAUAUGACCGGUACAUGACUGCCUCUGCACUCACCAUGCAUCAAGCACAAAGGAUUUUAGUUAAAACACUGGAUUUACAUGUGACUGAUCCAUGUGUGAGAAUUAAUGCAAAGAACACGACACCAUAAUUUUUUUUUGUUUUUAUAAAAGAUUUUAAUAUUUAAAUAAAGGUAUGUGACUUCUCA
Molecule: long non-coding RNA, 907 nt
Organism: Acanthopagrus latus (yellowfin seabream)
Lineage: Eukaryota; Metazoa; Chordata; Actinopteri; Spariformes; Sparidae
Exons: 3
Source: RefSeq, a predicted model, not a curated record